GUUUCUCACCAGAUGCUUUCAGCAGAGAGGACUUUCCGCUGAGUCCAAAGUUCAAAAUUUUUCCGUGCAUAAAAGACGCUGGAAAUAGCUCCGGUGAAGUUCGGUAAAAAAUGUGGCGUUUAUUAUUGAUCAUAUCUCUGGUUUUACUUGACCGAUCAACAUGAUUCAAAAACUGGUAGAAGGUUCAAAAUCUGUACUUUCAGCACGCAUUUAAAGGGAGACUCGCCGACGCUUCAUUUUCCUGCUUUGUUUUGAUUACUGCGGUGCAACAAGAAAACGCUCCAGAGCGUUUUUCUGGUGGUAAGGGUUAAAAUCAUAACUGUGUGUGUGUGUGUGUGUCUGUGUGUGUGUGUGUGUGUAUGUGUGUUUUAGCUUUUGCUACAUUGUGGGGAACAAAUGUCCCCACAACUGUAGGAAAACUGAAAACUAUGUCAUUUGUGGGGAUCUCAUUUCGGGCCCCAACAGUGUUUUCUUGGCCAUGUUGUUGUUACUGAAAAAAGUAAGAGUGCAAAAACAUUUCUUUAGGGUUAGCCAUUGUUUUGGUUAGGGUUAGGGUUAGGGGUUAGAUAUGAAUGGGAGUCAAUGGUAAGUCCUCACAAUGAUAGAAAAACAUAGUGUGUGUGUGUGUGUGUGUGUGUGUGUGUGUGCCCAGGUUCUGGCCAUACUUGUGGGGACCAAAUGUCAGAGAGUAAUAUAAACCACCUUUCGUCAAAAAUGACAGGUUCCAAUCAGAAGCUGCCAAGUCACAACUUUGACAGGUGGCCCCGCCCCCUUUUUACCGGAAGUCCCGCCUUACCACAUGGUAUUUUACCGGAAGUCCCGCCUUAUCACGUGGUAUUUUUUACUAUGUGAUCUUUGUUUUUACCAGAAGACCCUCCCCCUUGGCGGUCAAAGUCAGGUCUAAAGUGUCUUCCUAACCCUCAGCGGCGUAUCUAUUCGGUGCAGAUGCCCCCCCCUCCGUCCCUCCCCUCCAGGGUCCUAACUGUCAAAAGUAUUUAUCUGAUCUGGAGCAGAGACGUCCCUGUAAAAACAAACUUUCAGCGUUCUCAUCCCUCCUGUGACACAGUUUUUAGCGUUCUUUGACAGAGAAACCCUGUGAAAAAAUUGAAAAUGUUUCUGUAUUCUCUCUAUUUUGCAUCCUUUGAACCCUAUGCUGCUGUCCACUAUCUCUUCCAGGCGAUCUGUCACCCGCGAGCAGUGGUGAGUGAGUGAGUGCUGAGCGCCUACACCCCCCGUGGCUGCGGUGACAGGAAGCCCCUCCUUAAUCGCCAGAGGGUUAUCAGAGCCGCAGGGGGAGAAGGGGAGAAUGUUAAACAAAACAAUCUUUUUUUACAGUCUGUUAGUUCAUUUUAAACACGAGACAGUCAACAACAGCUAACAAAAAAAUAAAAAUAAAAAAAAUGAGCAGUUCAUCUGUUUGAAAUAUACCGGUUGGAUAAAUAAAACUGAACAAUGUAACUGUUUGAAAUAUCCCAUUCAGAAAAUAAGAACCCGCAGUCUUUUUAACUGUUUGAAAUAUAUCAUAAAUAAAAAACAUGAACAAUUUGACUGUUUAAAAUAAAUCAGUCAGAAAAUAAGAUCCGUCAGUCUUUUUAACCGGAAAGUUUCAACAAUGUAGAAAAGCAUAUAGUUUGAAAAACUGUUUUAGUUUGUUAUACAUUUUAAAUAGAAACGUAUGUAAAUGAAAACUGAUAGGGGUGUGGGGUUAAUGACCUCAAAGUGUGAAAAAAACCCUCCAGAGGUUCAAAAGUCGCAUCACACUUGUUUGUUUGAACAGAUAAAGACGAGUCAGUGUUUUUCUCCAACAUCCGUUCAGCAAAGCUGAAUUUUAGUCAAAGUUCCAGAAAUUCAAAAAAUAUGGAAAACGGUACAUGGUUUAUUAAUCUUCUUUGCAUUUUUUAGCAUUAUUUUUACACACUUUUUUCUGAUGAUCUGUUGUUUCAAAAAAAAGCUGUGUUAUAGGCGCGGGGAUCAACUUUGACUUUCUUGAGGCCUGUGAGUAUUUCUUCUUCUUCUCGUUGUUGUUAUUUCAAUAAUUAUUCCAAGAAUCAAACAUUUUUCAAUUUUUUUUAGUUACCGAGGAAGAACUACGAGAAAUCGAACUGCACAUUGAGAACGCAGCGCGAAACGAAGCGUUUAGCAACCAAGAGAUUUGGAGUGAACGUGGCUGGGAUAUAGAGGGCCAGGACCCUGCCACACUUACGAGGCAAGUGAUGCGGAAUUUAGACAGCUUCAGACCCGGGCAGUGGCAGACCGCAUCGAGUCUCUCCGGAGUUCGGGUUCUCUACAGCCCAGGCGAUUUCCAGCUCCAUCAGGUUCCAUCCCCCUUGACUCUACCUCCGCCGUCUCCUCUCUUCUCCAUCGGAUCAACACCUCCGACGUCUCCCGGUCCUCCAGCUCCUCCUCCUCCAUCUCCCGAGAUCGCUGCAACGGUGCCGGGUUCCAGCGGUUCCACAGCUCCAGCACCGAGCCUGACCUAUGCCGCUCCGGCCGCACGCGCCCCAGCCCCCAUGAUUGGGAGAAGCAGCGAAAGCAGGACCGCUGCAACCGCGUUCCCCGAGACCGAUGCAACAGUUCCGGGUUCCACCGGUUCCACAGCUCCUCCACCACCACCACCACCACCAGCAGCUCCCCUGAUUGUGAGAAGCGGCACUGGCGGCAGGAUCGCUGCAUCCGCAUCCCCCGAGACCGAGGCAACGGUGCCGGGUUCCACAGCUCCAGCACCGACCCGGACCUACGCCGCUCCGGCCGCACUCCCCCCACCACCUCCCUUGAUCGGGAGAAGCAUCAGGACCCCCGCACCCGCCUCUCCCGAGAGCGCCGCAACGGUGCCGGGCUCCAGCACCCUCUCUCCUCCGACACCGGGCCAGACCUACACCGCUCCAGGGGCGCGUGCUCAUCCCAGGAUCCUGACAAAUAGAACCGCCAGACGGAACGGCGCCGUAAGAGGCUCCUUCACGAGACAUCGCAGGAGGAGAAGGGACCGCUAUCUGCUUGACACCCUAAGAGAUGAGUUGACGUGUGCGGUAAAUGAACUUUUACGCGCAGGAUCAGCAUAUUAUGCGGAGCUUACAAGAAUGUAAUUACGUUCGAGGUGAUUUCUGUUUUCGCUGUUUAUGAGGUUUGUUUUUUGUUGUUGUUAUUGAAGUGAAAAUAUUGUAAAACAAAAAAAUGACAUUAACACUCGCAAGACUAUGCUUUUAGGAUACUCCUUUAAGGACUGAAGAGGGAUCAUUUAAUCCUCCUGUCCUGCUCUGUCUGCCCUGGAAUGUGCAUUAUGCUAAUCAUGUGGCAACUUCUUGCAGGGAGAACAGUGGAAGGUGUGAACGGUGUGUGUGGGCGGGGGGUGGGAGGAAAUAUGCUCCCCCUUCCCAGGGGGGAUUCUGCUCCUGCCCUGGGAUGUGGACUGAUCAUUACGCUAAUUAUGUGGCAGCUUCUGGAUGGGAGAACAGUGGAAGGUGUGGAAGGUGUGAAAGGUGUGUGUGGGCGGGGGGUGGGAGGAAAUAUGCUCCCCCUUUCCAGGGGGGAUUGGCAUAAAAAGUCUGAAAAACACUUUUGUGGUCAUUAGCUACAUUAGCUAUAUGAGACAUACAAGAUCCCAGUGGACAACCUGCCAGUUCGUCAUCUGCUCCAAGACCUCUCCAAAAAAAAGAUGCAGAGAAGAUUCACUACUGAGCAGGCUUUGCAAAUGAUUCUGACUGAAACAAGCGCUUUUGACUCUGAUGGAGAGGACAUAGACCUUCAGUCAGAUUCUGACUCGGAGCAGUUUUCGGAGGAAGACGCUCCCCCUCCCCAGAAGAGGACAAAACGGCUGGAUACCGCACUAACGGAGACCGCAAAAGAUGGCACAGUGUGGUGCAAGGAAGAGGUUGGACGACAUCUGAAAUUCGCUCCUAUUGAACCUUACGCUGCAGAAGGAGAGCCAACACAUGAAGCCAGAAUAAGGAUCAAAACUCGCCUUCAAAGCUUCCUCUGUUUUCUCACUCUCCAGAUGCUUCGUACCAUUCAAGCAUGCACAAUUGAGCAUGCAAGGGAAACAGAGACUGUGGAUUGGUUCAUGGCUAUUCCAGAACUAAUGGCUUUCAUUGCAGUUGUCAUCUGGCGAGGGGUGACUAAGGUUCCAUCAUUGUCUGACAACUGGUCAGAGAUGUAUGGAAACAAACGGAUUAUGGAAACAAUGAGUAGCGACCGCUUCAAAGACAUAAUGCAGCACCUACGGUUUGAUAGCAAGAACACACGGGCUGAGCGAGUGCAGACAGACAAGUUUGCAGCUAUUUCCGAAUUAUGGGAAUCAUUUCGACAGAACUGUUGUCACAUUCUACAGACCUGGUCGGCACAUCACAAUCGAUGAACAACUUUAUCCAUCAAAGACACGUUGCCCUUUUCUGCAAUAUAUUGCUACAAAACCGGAUAAAUUUGGUAUCAAGUUUUGGGUGGCGUGUGACUUGAAAUCAAAGUAUAUUUGCAAUGUCUUUCCAUAUGUUUGCAAAGAACCUGGCCGUCCCAAAGAGGAGAGACUGUCUGAGAGUGUGGUAAUGAAGUUGAUGGGACCAUUUCUUGAUCAGGGCAGAACUGUCACGACGGACAAUUUUUUCACAUCAAUUUCACUUGCAAGAAAAUUACGCAGCCGGAAAACUACCAUUCUUGGGACACUCAACAAAAUUCGCAGAGAAAUUCCCCCUUCAGCUCGAGAGAUAAAGCAAAGUGAGUUCAGCACUCAGGUGUUUUCAACAACUGAUGCAACACUGACAGUGUACGCAGCCAGCCGGAAGAAGACAGUCUACGUUAUGAGCAGCAUGCACAGUGUGAUUCAGACUGAGGACAGCCGCAAAAGAAAGCCAAGCACCAUCACCCAGUACAACUCCACUAAAUGCAGUGUGGACGCCAUGGAUCAGAUGGUGCGGCAGUACAGCGUACGGGCAGGAACAAGAAGAUGGCCUGUCAGUGUAUUUUAUAAUAUGGUUGACAUGGCAGCCCUGAAUGCCCAUGUGCUAUAUCAAGCCUGCACAGGAAGGACGGAAAGGCGGCCAGAUUUUCUGAUGCGGCUUGCCUGUGAGUUGGCUGAGUCUUAUGUGACAUCAAAGAAGAUUGGAAAGGAAAACCAUCUUCGCAAACAGGCCGCCACACCAGUGGAACCGGGCAAAAGGCAGAAGUGCCAAGUCCAUCACCGGUGCAAAAAGAACCCUGCUACUGUUCGAUGUGUGCAUUGCUACAAGUUAACGUGUGGCAAAUGCAAAAGAGAAGUGCCAUGGGAGUGCCAGGUCUGCGCAGACCAGUUUUGAAAAAGUUGUGUGAUGACACACACACGGUAAAUGUGUAAAUUGUGUAAAUAUUGUUUGUGCUUUCUACAGUGUUGAUUCAAAAAUAUAAAUAAACUAUUAGAAUAAGCAUU
Long non-coding RNA from Acanthochromis polyacanthus (spiny chromis), 5392 nucleotides. RefSeq lists it as uncharacterized. The record is from RefSeq and is a predicted model, not a curated record. The transcript has 3 exons. NCBI's taxonomy places the organism in Eukaryota, Metazoa, Chordata, Actinopteri, Pomacentridae.